UACGGGGGGGGUAAGCGUUGUUCGGAAUUACUGGGCGUAAAGGGCUCGUAGGCGGCCAACUAAGUCAUACGUGAAAUCCCUCAGCUUAACUGGGGAACUGCGUGUGAUACUGGAUGGCUUGGAUUUGGGAGAGGGAUGCGGAAUUCCAGGUGUAGCGGUGAAAUGCGCAGAUAUCAGGAAGAACACCCGUGGCGAAGGCGGCUCUCUGGGACGGUACUGACGCUGAGACGCGAAAGCGUGGGGAGCGAACAGG
Molecule: ribosomal RNA, 253 nt
Filed under: uncultured bacterium
Lineage: Bacteria
Description: partial 16S ribosomal RNA
Rfam family: Bacterial small subunit ribosomal RNA
Source: RNAcentral